GACGAACGCUGGCGGCGUGCUUAACACAUGCAAGUCGAGCGGAGCGGCGUACGGGUGAGUAACGCGUGAGUAACUGCCCCCCUGCCUGGGAUAACAGUUGGAAACGGCUGCUAAUCCCGGAUAGUGGGGGAUGACUCGCGUCCUAUCAGCUUGUUGGUGAGGUAGUGGCUUACCAAGGCGACGACGGGUAGCCGGCCUGAGCGGGCGACCGGCCACAUUGGGUUGAGAGACGGCCCAGACUCCUACGGGAGGCAGCGGUGGUGAAUCUUGCACAAUGGGGGAAACCCUUCUGCAGCAACGCCGCGUGCGGGAUGACGGCCUUCGGGUUGUAAACCGCUUUCAGCCAUGACGCGGUAGUGGCAGAAGAAGCACCGGCUAACUACGUGCCAGCAGCCGCGGUAAUUC
RNAcentral lists this ribosomal RNA (405 nucleotides) under uncultured bacterium. RNAcentral describes it as "partial 16S ribosomal RNA". It matches the Rfam family "Bacterial small subunit ribosomal RNA", at positions 28 to 526 of the family's 1533-position model. The record is from RNAcentral.